UUGACCUCGGAUCAGGCAGGGAUACCCGCUGAACUUAAGCAUAUCAAUAAGCGGAGGAAAAGAAACCAACAGGGAUUGCCUCAGUAACGGCGAGUGAAGCGGCAACAGCUCAAAUUUGAAAUCUGGCUCUUUUAGGGUCCGAGUUGUAAUUUGUAGAGAUGCUUCGGCGUCCGCUCCGGUCUAAGUUCCUUGGAACACGACGUCAUAGAGGGUGAGAAUCCCRUAGGUGAUCGGUUGCCCUUGCCAUGUGAAGCUCCUUCAACGAGUCGAGU
This 272-nucleotide ribosomal RNA is filed under the name uncultured Cenococcum. RNAcentral's name for it is "partial 28S ribosomal RNA". It matches the Rfam family "Eukaryotic large subunit ribosomal RNA", at positions 1 to 270 of the family's 3401-position model. The record is from RNAcentral. Lineage: Eukaryota; Fungi; Ascomycota; Dothideomycetes; Gloniales; Gloniaceae.